This 366-nucleotide ribosomal RNA is filed under the name uncultured Bacteroidota bacterium. RNAcentral describes it as "bacterial SSU rRNA". It matches the Rfam family "Bacterial small subunit ribosomal RNA", at positions 104 to 468 of the family's 1533-position model. Lineage: Bacteria; Pseudomonadati; Bacteroidota. The record is from RNAcentral.
GGGUGCGUAACGCGUAUGCAAUCUACCUUUUACUGGAGUAUAGCCCAGAGAAAUUUGGAAUAAUCCUCCAUAAUAUCAUUUAAUCGCAUGAUUUUUUGAUUAAAGCUUCGGUGGUAAAAGAUGAGCAUGCGUUCUAUUAGCUAGUAGGUAAGGUAACGGCUUACCUAGGCAACGAUAGAUAGGGGUCCUGAGAGGGAGAUCCCCCACACUGGUACUGAGACACGGACCAGACUCCUACGGGAGGCAGCAGUGAGGAAUAUUGGACAAUGGACGAAAGUCUGAUCCAGCCAUGCCGCGUGCAGGAUGAAUGCCCUAUGGGUUGUAAACUGCUUUUAUAUAGGAAGAAAACCCUCCACGUGUGGAGGC